GGUUCCAUGGUGUAAUGGUUAGCACGCUGGACAAGUUCAAAUCCGAGUUCAAAUCUCGGUGGAGAUUA
Molecule: non-coding RNA, 68 nt
Organism: Trichonephila inaurata madagascariensis
Lineage: Eukaryota; Metazoa; Arthropoda; Arachnida; Araneae; Nephilidae
Source: the annotation of a GenBank genome assembly